GAACAUUGCUAUGGAGCAAUAAAAAUUCAAGAAUCCAUAUGAACUUUGAAGAAUUCAAAAACCCCAGUUGGAAAUAGAUCCCCUUUUUCAAUUUCAAUUUGAAAAAGAGAAAAAAAAAGUGAUCUUUUUUUUUUCUUCACUGUAGUGUGAUGAGAAUCAGUUUUUUACGAUUUGGGGUUUUGUUCUUGUUGUGUAAUUGUUUGAUUGGAGCUUAUUGUUCCAAAUCUGAUGAAGCAUAUGUGACCCUUUUGUAUGGCGAUGAGUUCUUGCUUGGGGUUCGAGUACUUGGCAAGUCGAUUAGGGAUACUGGAUCAACCAAAGAUAUGGUAGUUUUGGUCUCUGAUGGGGUUUCUCAAUAUGCCAAACAUCUACUCCAGGCAGAUGGUUGGAUUGUGGAGAAAAUUAGCUUACUGGCAAACCCAAAUCAAGUGAGACCGAAG
RNAcentral lists this unclassified non-coding RNA (440 nucleotides) under Hevea brasiliensis (rubber tree). Lineage: Eukaryota; Viridiplantae; Streptophyta; Magnoliopsida; Malpighiales; Euphorbiaceae. The record is from RNAcentral.